UGUAUAUAGACCAUGACUUUCUUACUCACUGGCUGUUGGGGAUCUGGGUUGCUUCCAAGUUGGGACUAUUACAAAUUGAGCUGUUAUGAACAGAAAGGAACAUGUUCUCUUUGGAUAGGUGCUUUUGCUUCCUUUGGAUAAAUCCCUAGGAGAUAAAUUCCUGGGCAAUGUGAUGGCGACGGGGGUCUGGAACCCUGGCCCUUGCACUUUGUAACAUGCACGCUCAACCAGAUGCACCACCGCCCAGCCCCUAAAAAGAAAUCUUUAAGACAAAUAAAUGAAGUUGUCCUAUGAAUAGCUGAAUUGACACAA
Erinaceus europaeus (western European hedgehog) is the source of this 312-nucleotide long non-coding RNA. RefSeq lists it as uncharacterized. Lineage: Eukaryota; Metazoa; Chordata; Mammalia; Eulipotyphla; Erinaceidae. The transcript has 2 exons. The record is from RefSeq and is a predicted model, not a curated record.